GACGAAGGGGGCAAGCGUUGUUCGGAAUUACUGGGCGUAAAGCGCGUGUAGGUGGUUGUCCUAGUCAGGUGUGAAAGCCUUGAGCUCAACUCAAGAAAUGCACUUGAUACUGGGCAGCUAGAGGACCGGAGAGGAUAGUGGAAUUCCCAGUGUAGUGGUGAAAUACGUAGAGAUUGGGAAGAACACCAGUGGCGAAGGCGGCUAUCUGGACGGUUUCUGACACUAAGACUCGAAAGCGUGGGGAGCAAACAGG
Molecule: ribosomal RNA, 253 nt
Filed under: uncultured bacterium
Lineage: Bacteria
Description: partial 16S ribosomal RNA
Rfam family: Bacterial small subunit ribosomal RNA
Source: RNAcentral